This 206-nucleotide long non-coding RNA is filed under the name Mustela putorius furo (domestic ferret). RNAcentral's name for it is "lncRNA (ENSMPUG00000024347.1)". The record is from RNAcentral. Lineage: Eukaryota; Metazoa; Chordata; Mammalia; Carnivora; Mustelidae.
GAGAGGAAGGGAAGCAGACUCCCCACUGAGCAGAGAGCCGGACUUGGGGCUCGAUCCCAGGACCCUCGUGAACUGAGCAGAAGGCAGAGGCUUUAACCCACUGAGCCACCCAAGCGCCCCACAAAGGAGGUCUUUAUAAAGAUACAUGUUGAAGAUGAUGGAGUUUCUAACAUCCUCACUGACCUACUUUGGACUGUUCUGUGAGC